RNAcentral lists this transfer RNA (73 nucleotides) under Porphyra crispata. Its description in RNAcentral is "tRNA-Gly". It matches the Rfam family "tRNA". Rfam says of the family: Transfer RNA (tRNA) molecules are approximately 80 nucleotides in length. Their secondary structure includes four short double-helical elements and three loops (D, anti-codon, and T loops). Further hydrogen bonds mediate the characteristic L-shaped molecular structure. tRNAs have two regions of fundamental functional importance: the anti-codon, which is responsible for specific mRNA codon recognition, and the 3' end, to which the tRNAs corresponding amino acid is attached (by aminoacyl-tRNA synthetases). tRNAs cope with the degeneracy of the genetic code in two manners: having more than one tRNA (with a specific anti-codon) for a particular amino acid; and 'wobble' base-pairing, i.e. permitting non-standard base-pairing at the 3rd anti-codon position. RNAcentral also lists the same sequence under 1 other name. Lineage: Eukaryota; Rhodophyta; Bangiophyceae; Bangiales; Bangiaceae. The record is from RNAcentral.
GCGGAUAUAGAUGAAUUGGUACAUCAGUAAUUUUCCAUGUUAAAAGUUAUGGGUUCAAAUCCCAUUGUCCGCU